GGCUCGGUAGCUCAGUUGGUAGAGCAAUGGCUUGAAGCUCCAUGUGUCGGCGGUUCGAUUCCGUCUCGCGCCA
RNAcentral lists this transfer RNA (73 nucleotides) under Streptococcus pneumoniae. Its description in RNAcentral is "tRNA-Phe(gaa)". It matches the Rfam family "tRNA". From Rfam's summary of the family: Transfer RNA (tRNA) molecules are approximately 80 nucleotides in length. Their secondary structure includes four short double-helical elements and three loops (D, anti-codon, and T loops). Lineage: Bacteria; Bacillati; Bacillota; Bacilli; Lactobacillales; Streptococcaceae. The record is from RNAcentral.